CAGCAGCCACGGUAAUACAGAGGGUGCGAGCGUUAAUCGGAUUUACUGGGCGUAAAGCGUGCGUAGGCGGCUUCUUAAGUCGGAUGUGAAAUCCCUGAGCUUAACUUAUGAAUUGCAUUCGAUACUGGGAAGCUAGAGUAUGGGAGAGGAUGGUAGAAUUCCAGGUGUAGCGGUGAAAUGCGUAGAGAUCUGGAGGAAUACCGAUGGCGAAGGCAGCCAUCUGGCCUAAUACUGACGCUGAGGUACGAAAGCAUGGGGAGCAAACAGGAUUAGAUACCCCUGUAGUCCCUGUCUCUUAUAC
This 301-nucleotide ribosomal RNA is filed under the name uncultured bacterium. RNAcentral's name for it is "partial 16S ribosomal RNA". It matches the Rfam family "Bacterial small subunit ribosomal RNA", at positions 509 to 807 of the family's 1533-position model. The record is from RNAcentral.